UACGGAGGGGGCUAGCGUUAUUCGGAUUUAUUGGGCGUAAAGGGUGCGUAGGCGGAUUGGUAAGUUAGGAGUGAAAUCCCGGGGCUCAACCUCGGAACUGCUUUUAAAACUAUCAGUCUAGAGUUUAGUAGGGGGCGACGGAAUUCCUAGUGUAGAGGUAAAAUUCUUAGAUAUUAGGAGGAACACCGAUGGCGAAGGCGGUCGCUUGGGCUAUAACUGACGCUGAGGCACGAAAGCGUGGGGAGCAAACAGG
Molecule: ribosomal RNA, 253 nt
Filed under: uncultured bacterium
Lineage: Bacteria
Description: partial 16S ribosomal RNA
Rfam family: Bacterial small subunit ribosomal RNA
Source: RNAcentral